Argentina anserina (silverweed cinquefoil) is the source of this 761-nucleotide long non-coding RNA. RefSeq lists it as uncharacterized. The record is from RefSeq and is a predicted model, not a curated record. The transcript is spliced from 2 exons. NCBI's taxonomy places the organism in Eukaryota, Viridiplantae, Streptophyta, Magnoliopsida, Rosales, Rosaceae.
GAGGUUUCUCUCUUUCUAAACCUCCAUGGACGACCAAAAAAAAACCCAGCAAAUUAGUUUCUCUCUUCAUCAGCCUCAACCACAGUCGAAGCCCGGAGCCCCACUGACUCCUACGACGACUCCGGCUCCCUACUCCCUUGGAUACCUACAUGCUCAGCUUCCUCAUGAACAAUAUCAAGGUUGGAUUGGAUAAUUGCAGACCCAUCGAGCAUGUCGAGGAGGAGGAUCUCUUAAUCGUCGGAGUCGUUUGGUAUCUACUUGCAGACUCGUCAACCCGAAACCAUGACCCGCUUCAUCUCUUUGGAGAUGGCGGCCAAACACCGUCAGUGACUUGAUGACGACUGUGGCGGCGGAUACCACGGAUGGGACGACGUCACAAUGAAAACCUCAGCCUUACCAGAACCUCGGCGGCUUUCUCGGGAGAGAAAGAAAUUCUGGCGUCAGGCAUGCCUCUGGUGACGCGAACAUGAAUGGGGAGAGACUAUUUGGGAAGAUGGAGAGAGAUCUCUUUUAAGGCACGUGACUUGCACAUGAGGUGGUGGAAGUGGACAUGACUUGCAUGUGCCUUGAAUAAGCUCUCAGUUAAGUCACCUAAUUAACCUGAGCUUGUUCCUGUAUACCAGAGGGCUCUUCUGGCUACGAUUGUCAACUUCUGCCACUUGUAUUCUCAAAUCUCAAGACUUCAUUAAGUGAAAUCAGGUGCAUGGUCUGUGUUCUCGGUUAAAUUUGAAGAAAUAUAUACAAGUGUGUGAUUGUUGAAA